CUGCAGUAAUUCUAAUAUAGCUCUAAUGAUUAAAAGAAAAAAAAAAACACCCUGGAUAGGAGUGAUUGUGUAUUAAAUGUUUUCCUAACUCUGUUAGGAUAUUUUCAGCUACAUAUUCAAAGUAACAAAAUCCCAGACUGAAAUAGCUUCCACAAUAAAGAAACGUAUUAUCUUAUAUAACAGGAAGAAGAGAGGUAGUGCAGGCUUCAUAUUUCAGCACUUCAGCAACUCAGCAAUGUCAUCAGGAACCCAGGAGCUUUCAGUCUCUGAUCUGCAUUCUCUCACAUAGCUGGUUCUCGUGGCAGCUACACUGCCCAAAUUCUCCAUCACAAAAUCCUGUCUAUCCAAGCUAUCGAAGACGGAGUUGUCAC
Molecule: long non-coding RNA, 371 nt
Filed under: Capra hircus (goat)
Lineage: Eukaryota; Metazoa; Chordata; Mammalia; Artiodactyla; Bovidae
Description: lncRNA (ENSCHIG00000000664.1)
Source: RNAcentral